RNAcentral lists this ribosomal RNA (450 nucleotides) under uncultured bacterium. RNAcentral's name for it is "partial 16S ribosomal RNA". It matches the Rfam family "Bacterial small subunit ribosomal RNA", at positions 354 to 796 of the family's 1533-position model. The record is from RNAcentral.
GUGGGGAAUUUUGGACAAUGGGCGCAAGCCUGAUCCAGCCAUUCCGCGUGCAGGAUGAAGGCCUUCGGGUUGUAAACUGCUUUUGUACGGAACGAAAAGGUUCUCUCUAAUACAGGGGGCUGAUGACGGUACCGUAAGAAUAAGCACCGGCUAACUACGUGCCAGCAGCCGCGGUAAUACGUAGGGUGCAAGCGUUAAUCGGAAUUACUGGGCGUAAAGCGUGCGCAGGCGGUGAUGUAAGACAGAUGUGAAAUCCCCGGGCUCAACCUGGGAAUUGCGCUUGUGACUGCAGUGCUGGAGUACGGCAGAGGGGGAUGGAAUUCCGCGUGUAGCAGUGAAAUGCGUAGAUAUGCGGAGGAACACCGAUGGCGAAGGCAGUCCCCUGGGCCUGUACUGACGCUCAUGCACGAAAGCGUGGGGAGCAAACAGGAUUAGAAACCCGAGUAGUCC